This 474-nucleotide long non-coding RNA is filed under the name Mytilus galloprovincialis (Mediterranean mussel). Lineage: Eukaryota; Metazoa; Mollusca; Bivalvia; Mytilida; Mytilidae. The record is from RNAcentral.
AAAAAAAUAAAAAAAAAAUCCGGAUUUUUUUCGUUUUUUUCCGGAAGCGGUUUUUGUUUAGUAUAGCCUUUGAAUGGCAUCUUUUAAACGUUUGAUUUCAAAUAAAAUUUUAAUACAGUAAGCAUUUGUGUGAUACAGAUUGAAGUCAAACAACGCCUCGCAUGGCUUCUGCUAUGGCCAUCAGUCAAAGUGUGUUAUCAAUAACAAUCGAUGAGUGUCCACACAGGAAAGAGAAAAAAAGUAUAAUAGCCCCAUUUUCUAAUUCUACCACCUUUAUUGAUAUAUUCAAUCAGUAUCAUGACUUUGGAUUAAAGAACAAUGAAUUUACUGUGUCAGACUGGAAAAAACCAUGAGAUAUCUCCCACAUUGACAGUUGGGGAAGUUGUGCAGCUUUUUAAUGUGAGGGACUUUAAAUUCAAGUGUGUUGUUCACAAAAUACACAAAAAACAACCGAAGCAGGCCAGUAAAAAAAAA